UAGAAAACAUGUUUACUAUAUCUGUAUGUAAUAUGUCUUUACCGUAACCUCGACUUACAAAACAUUGAAGGAUAAUUACAGCACUUGAGUGUAUAAAAUUUUGUUUCUCAUAUAUAUAUAUGUUUGUACAUAUAAACCUAAACUAUGUACGGCAUCAGAGGAAGAUUAAAAUUAUGGAUCGUACGUUCGACGUAAAUAAAAUAUAUUUCUACAUAGCUGAAGAUAUAUGUAAAAUAUAAUAAUAUGUAUUGUGGAAUGUAAUAAAAACCAUUAUGUAUUUAUA
This is a long non-coding RNA of Bombus huntii, 283 nucleotides long. RefSeq lists it as uncharacterized. NCBI's taxonomy places the organism in Eukaryota, Metazoa, Arthropoda, Insecta, Hymenoptera, Apidae. The transcript has 2 exons. The record is from RefSeq and is a predicted model, not a curated record.